ACGAACGCUGGCGGCGUGCCUAAUACAUGCAAGUCGAGCGAAGUUUUUCUGGUGCUUGCACUAGAAAAACUUAGCGGCGAACGGGUGAGUAACACGUAAAGAACCUGCCUCAUAGUCUGGGACAACUAUUGGAAACGAUAGCUAAUACCGGAUAACAGCAUUAACUGCAUGGUUGAUGUUUAAAAGUUGGUUUUGCUAACACUAUGAGAUGGCUUUGCGGUGCAUUAGCUAGUUGGUGGGGUAAAGGCCUACCAAGGCGACGAUGCAUAGCCGACCUGAGAGGGUGAUCGGCCACACUGGGACUGAGACACGGCCCAGACUCCUACGGGAGGCAGCAGUAGGGAAUCUUCCGCAAUGGGCGAAAGCCUGACGGAGCAACGCCGCGUGAGUGAAGAAGGAUUUCGGUUCGUAAAGCUCUGUUGUUAGGGAAGAAUGAUUGUGUAGUAACUAUACACAGUAGAGACGGUACCUAACCAGAAAGCCACGGCUAACUACGUG
Molecule: ribosomal RNA, 498 nt
Filed under: uncultured bacterium
Lineage: Bacteria
Description: partial 16S ribosomal RNA
Rfam family: Bacterial small subunit ribosomal RNA
Source: RNAcentral